UACGAAGGGGGCUAGCGUUGCUCGGAAUCACUGGGCGUAAAGGGUGCGUAGGCGGGUCUUUAAGUCAGGGGUGAAAAUCCUGGAGCUCAACUCCAGAACUGCCUUUGAUACUGAAGAUCUUGAGUUCGGGAGAGGUGAGUGGAACUGCGAGUGUAGAGGUGAAAUUGUAGAUAUUCGCAAGAACACCAGUGGCGAAGGCGGCUCACUGGCCCGGUACUGACGCUGAGGUGCGAAAGCGUGGGGAGCAACAGG
This 252-nucleotide ribosomal RNA is filed under the name uncultured bacterium. RNAcentral describes it as "partial 16S ribosomal RNA". It matches the Rfam family "Bacterial small subunit ribosomal RNA", at positions 524 to 775 of the family's 1533-position model. The record is from RNAcentral.